GCGGGUGUGGCGGAAUUGGUAGACGCGCAAGAUUAAGGAUCUUGUGAUCAUUAUCGAUCAUGAAAGUUCGAGUCUUUUCACCCGCA
Molecule: transfer RNA, 86 nt
Filed under: Lacticaseibacillus camelliae DSM 22697 = JCM 13995
Lineage: Bacteria; Bacillati; Bacillota; Bacilli; Lactobacillales; Lactobacillaceae
Also listed under: 1 other name
Description: Lactobacillus camelliae DSM 22697 = JCM 13995 tRNA
Rfam family: tRNA
About the family: Transfer RNA (tRNA) molecules are approximately 80 nucleotides in length. Their secondary structure includes four short double-helical elements and three loops (D, anti-codon, and T loops). Further hydrogen bonds mediate the characteristic L-shaped molecular structure. tRNAs have two regions of fundamental functional importance: the anti-codon, which is responsible for specific mRNA codon recognition, and the 3' end, to which the tRNAs corresponding amino acid is attached (by aminoacyl-tRNA synthetases). tRNAs cope with the degeneracy of the genetic code in two manners: having more than one tRNA (with a specific anti-codon) for a particular amino acid; and 'wobble' base-pairing, i.e. permitting non-standard base-pairing at the 3rd anti-codon position.
Source: Rfam by way of RNAcentral